This 254-nucleotide ribosomal RNA is filed under the name uncultured bacterium. Its description in RNAcentral is "partial 16S ribosomal RNA". It matches the Rfam family "Bacterial small subunit ribosomal RNA", at positions 524 to 776 of the family's 1533-position model. The record is from RNAcentral.
UACAGAGGGUGCAAGCGUUGCUCGGAUUUAUUGGGCGUAAAGAGCUCGUAGGCGGUGUGUCACGUCGGCCGUGAAAACCUGCAGCUUAACUGUGGGCGUGCGGUCGAUACGGGCAUCACUGGAGUUCGGCAGGGGAGACUGGAAUUCCUGGUGUAGCGGUGAAAUGCGCAGAUAUCAGGAGGAACACCGGUGGCGAAGGCGGGUCUCUGGGCCGAUACUGACGCUGAGGAGCGAAAGCGUGGGGAGCAAACAGG